UACGGAGGGUGCGAGCGUUAAUCGGAAUUACUGGGCGUAAAGCGCGCGUAGGCGGUUUGAUUAGUCGGGUGUGAAAGCCCGCAGCUCAACUGCGGAACUGCCUUCGAUACUGCCGAGCUUGAGGGCGGGAGGGGUGAUUGGAACUCCAGGUGUAGCGGUGAAAUGCGUAGAUAUCUGGAGGAACACCGGAGGCGAAGGCGAAUCACUGGACCGCAUCUGACGCUGAGGCGCGAAAGCUAGGGGAGCAAACAGG
This 253-nucleotide ribosomal RNA is filed under the name uncultured bacterium. RNAcentral's name for it is "partial 16S ribosomal RNA". It matches the Rfam family "Bacterial small subunit ribosomal RNA", at positions 524 to 776 of the family's 1533-position model. The record is from RNAcentral.